AGUGGGAGGACCCUGCCUCGGGAACGUAGGGAGAAAGGAAGGACGAGGCCGGACACCCCGGCGCGCACACACACCUGCUGUCCAGGUAAGCCUCAGCCGGUGCUGCAGGCAGUCUGACUCGCAAUCCCUCAAGUGACUUCCAAGGAACAUCUGCAGACAAGAAGAUGGCCCAGGUCCUGCACGUGCCUGCCCCCUUCCCAGGAACCCCUGGCCCAGCCUCCCCACCUGCCUUCCCUGCCAAGGACCCCGAUCCACCCUACUCCGUGGAGACCCCCUAUGGCUACCGCCUGGACCUGGACUUCCUCAAGUACGUGGACGACAUCGAGAAGGGCCACACGCUGCGACGUGUGGCGGUGCAGCGCCGCCCCCGCCUGAGCUCACUGCCCCGUGGCCCCGGCUCCUGGUGGACGUCCACUGAGUCGCUGUGCUCCAAUGCCAGUGGGGACAGCCGCCACUCAGCCUAUUCCUACUGCGGCCGUGGCUUCUACCCUCAGUACGGUGCUCUGGAGACCCGCGGUGGCUUCAAUCCGCGGGUGGAGCGCACGCUGCUGGACGCCCGUCGCCGUCUCGAGGACCAGGCGGCCACACCCGCCGGCCUGGGCUCCCUGACCCCCAGUGCGGCCGGCUCGACAGCCUCCCUGGUGGGCGUGGGGUUGCCACCCCCGACACCACGGAGUUCAGGACUGUCCACGCCGGUGCCUCCCAGUGCCGGGCACCUGGCCCACGUGCGGGAGCAGAUGGCGGGUGCCCUGCGGAAGCUGCGGCAACUGGAGGAGCAGGUGAAGCUGAUCCCUGUGCUCCAGGUGAAGCUCUCGGUGCUCCAGGAGGAAAAGCGGCAGCUCACAGUACAACUUAAGAGCCAGAAGUUCCUGGGCCACCCCACAGCGGGCCGGGGUCGCGGCGAGCUCUGCCUGGACCUCCCCGAUCCCCCAGAGGACCCAGUGGCACUGGAGACCCGGAGUGUGGGCACCUGGGUCCGAGAACGGGACUUGGGCAUGCCUGAUGGGGAGGCUGCCCUCACUGCCAAGGUCGCUGUGCUGGAGACCCAGCUCAAGAAGGCGCUGCAGGAGCUGCAGGCAGCUCAGGCCCGGCAGGCUGACCCCCAGCCCCAGGCCUGGCCACCGCCGGACAGCCCGGUCCGCGUGGAUACAGUCCGGGUGAUAGAAGGGCCGAGGGAGGUGGAGGUGGUGGCCAGCACAGCCGCUGGCGCCCCUGCACAGCGGGCCCAGAGCCUGGAGCCUUAUGGCGCAGGGCUGAGGGCCCUGGCAAUGCCUGGUGGGCCUGAGAGCCCACCUGUGUUCCGCAGCCAAGAGGUGGUGGAGACGAUGUGCCCAGUGCCCGCUGCGGCUACCAGCAACGUCCAUAUGGUGAAGAAGAUUAGCAUCACAGAGCGCAGCUGCGAUGGAAUGGCAGGUAAGCGGUCGCAGGCAGGAGAGAAUGGCUUGGCGGUGGCGGGGGUGGGGGGCGGCGGCGGGGUGGGGGGCGGCGGCGGGGGUGGGGGGGCCCUUUUCUUCCCAUGGCUCAUCCUGGACCCUCAGAAUGCCAGGAUCCAGGCAGGGGGCGGUGGCGCAUGCCUGUAAUCCCAGCACUUUGGGAGGCCAAGGCGGGCAGAUCACUUGAGGUCAGAAGUUGGAGACCAGCCUGGCCAACAUGGUGAAACCCAUCUCUACUAAAAAUACAAAAAUUAGCCAGGUGUGGUGGCGUGCGCCUGUAACCUCAGCUACUCAGGAGGCUGAGGCAGGAGAACCGCUUGAACUGGGGAAGCAGAGGUUGCAGUGAGCCGAGAUUACACCACUGCACUCCAGCCUGGGCAACAGAGGGAGACUCUGUCUCAAAAAAAAAAAAAAA
RNAcentral lists this small RNA (1848 nucleotides) under Pongo abelii (Sumatran orangutan). RNAcentral describes it as "retained intron". Lineage: Eukaryota; Metazoa; Chordata; Mammalia; Primates; Hominidae. The record is from RNAcentral.